GACACAGGUUAGAGACACACACACAUAGUCGACAGACAACACAGACACCACAAGGGGGGCCAAGGGGUACUUGCAGUUAUCCUAUAAGGAAUAGAACUGGGAUUGGGCCAAGGACACACUUGCUUUGUAAGUUAACGCCUCUAUCUUUUUGGGCGUAGUAGAAGUAUAAAAAUUAUGUUUUGACUGUUGAUCCUUAGACAUUGUGCGGCGACACGUGUCUCCAGAAGCUUCUGUAAUAACUGGACGUAUGAUACAGUAUUUGCCCUGACUCCUGGUGUUUUAUUCUCCUUUCCAACAAACCAACUCGGGGAAGUGUUAGACUUCAACAAUUUGGGGGCUCAGUCCGGGAUUGGAAAAAGGGAGAAGGAAUUUGACUCCGUCCAGUUGAACUACACGGGACUCACAGGUUCCAGCACCGGUGCAUCAUAAAAAAGGUAAGCAGAGCCUGUUAUAUCUAAAUCUGCAUAUUGGCUAUGAACUAAAUUGUGGACCUGUGGAAAACGUAUUGGGAGACUGGUUUAAAUUCAGGGGGUCAGAGGAACGGUCUGUGAGUUAGAGUCUCACUGUAAGUCGGGUUAGAGGCCCGUUACCGGUGUGUGAGUUAGAGUCUCACUGUAAGUCGGGUUAGAGGCCCGUUAAUCGUUCUAGGGUUGACUACCCUACGCCACUUCCCGACGGGGACGGUGGAGAGUUGCGAGUUAGAGUCUCGGCAACCAGUCGGGUUAGAGGCCCGAGGACUUAGGGGCACCUCGAAGUACUUAUUGUGUGAAAGGUUCAGCUGGGUUAGAGGCCCGGGGAGUUUUGGAACUCCCCAAAUUCUUUGUAAGAAAACUGGGUUUGAGUCCCAAAAGUGUUGGGUCAGGGACCCGUUCAGCUGGGUUAGAGGCCCGGGGAGUUUUGGAACUCCCCAAAUUCUUUAUAAGAAAACUGGGUUUGAGUCCCAAAAGUGUUGGGUCAGGGACCCGUUCAGCUGGGUUAGAGGCCCGGGGAGUUUUGGAACUCCCCAAAUUCUUUGUAAGAAAACUGGGUUUGAGUCCCAAAAGUGUUGGGUCAGGGACCCGUUCAGCUGGGUUAGAGGCCCGGGGAGUUUUGGAACUCCCCAAAUUCUUUAUAAGAAAACUGGGUUUGAGUCCCAAAAGUGUUGGGUCAGGUACCCGUUAAUCAUUUGUUAAUUAUUCUGAGUCUGGGACUCACAGUAACAUAAGUCAGGUUGAAAUGGACGGGGAGUUUGAGAGAGAACUGUUGAGAGAAGUGUUGAACUGUUUGUUGUCAUGGUGAAGUCAGGAGAAGAGAAAAUUGUGUUUUAAGAAAAUUGAGUUGUUUGUGAAUGGGAUGAAGGUCAAUGUUUGAGAUGUUGUGUGUGGACACCAUGGAUACCGCUCCAACGAGGUUGGAGGUCUGAACGGGUGGGGUUGUAAGAAGACCUGUAUGGUAACGUCCUGUGGACCUGGAAGCAGGUGGGGACCAGUAGACUGUGUGUGUGAAUGUGUAUGCGAAAGAGAGUGUGUGAGGGAAGAGAAUUCCAGUCUGUUUAUAAGGAAGUGUGUGAAAGGAGACUCAUUGGGAGUGAUGCGCAUAGUGGAUAAAUUGACAGUAGAUGAUAGUGAUAUUUGCUCGAGUUCUAGAAAAGGGACGUCUGGAUAGAUUGGAAGAAGGGUUAAUGAAGAAAAUAGCCAGAUAGACAAAGAUUUAGUGGGAGAGGUGCCACGAGAAAGUAUUCAACAGUGGACAAAGGUUUUGGUCAAGUUUUGGGUAAUUAUUUGUGUAAACAUAGUUUUCUUUAAAGUGGUUUCAUUCAAUUGUUUGAAAAUAUUGUAAAGGUGGUCUGUUGGUUAAGUUUCAAUGAGUCCAGUUAAAGGAUAGUGAGAGGAGUCAAAUAGAUAAGACGGCUUUUUGCUGCCGUCCCAGAAAGUAGGGAGUAACUCUAAGCAUCCCAAUCCAGAACACAGAGACACUCUAGGAGAGAGGUGCAAAAGAUGACAGACACACCAAAUGAAAUUCAGGGAAGUAGAUUCCCAAUGUUAAAAUAAAUCAAAAUAGAGCAAAAUCAGGUUCUAUAUUGUAAUAUUAAAAUGGCAAUUGCUUUCCCAUUCCAAUUGGAGAAUUCUGUGUACACGAAAUUGUAUGAAAAUUGAGCUCAUCUAAAUUAUGAAACACGACAAAGACAUGUCAAAUUAGAAUCAACUGGCCAGUGUUAAAUGUAAAGAAAAUGAGUGCAACAUUUAUGAAACAUUGGUAAAAUAGUAAUUCCCAAUUUAGGACAUUUAUAAGAGAGAGCCAUUAGAUUGGGGUUUAAAAUUGUUGAUCAACACAACUUUAAAUUCAGUAAGUUAAUGCUAAAACUCUCCAGUCAAAGUUUUAACUUUGUGUUGUGCAAGAUUCCAUCUUUGUUUCUUACAGAGUAGGAGUCCUGAAUCCUGCAACCCUGAUACACCUUGUCCAAUAAAGGGGUACCUCACACAGAUGGCCCAGAUCAUUCUAAGGCCAAACCAAGCCCAGACCUUUGAGAGACUGCCUUGGGUUCAGAAUAAGAAUAUUGGACACUGAUGGUUCCAGCUGCACCACAGUCAAGGAGAGGGUGGAGGAAUGGAGAGACGCAUGCAGAACAAAGAGGCUCCUACAUCCAUGACUGUAACAGCCAGGAGCCACUUGACUGGACAUGGGAAAAUUAAGGAGGAGAAAAGGGAGGAGAGAUAGAACCCCCAGCAUAUGAAGAUGACCUUGUACUCGGUACAGACCGGGCACCAUUAUAUCCAGUGUUAUGUUUAGAGAAGGGGAUAUUGUCUUUAGACACACAGAACAGCAGGCCCAUAACUCAAUUCACAGGAAAGCAAGAUAAGAGAGAAGUUGAGUAGGAAGGCGGAGUCAGAGAGCGAGACAGAUGCUGGGGGGGAGGUGAAACCGUUCAUGACGCAGUAGAAUCAAUUCAAAAGACACAAAAUAAAAUGUUUACGCGGUCACAAGCAGGGGAAGCUGGUUGUGCUGGGUUUCAGCUGCCUCUCUUUAGAGUGGGAGGCGGAGAACCGCGAUAUAAACCACUGGGGCUGGGAGACGUACAGGCACUGGUAGAUAAAUUACCCCCGAUGGGAGAGGGAGGUGGACUAUGGUUGUCACAAUUUGAUAAACUCACAGCUGGUCAAAUGUUGGCACUGGGGGACUGGAGGGCAGCAGCCGCCCGAGUCGUGUCCGCCCAGGCUAUGACUGAGAUAGAAAAAGGGGCCGCCACUAGGCGGAGCCCUGACGACACUCCUUUCAGUCAGGUGGUCGGGCGCAUAGCCACGGCCCUGAGGGGACGAUUUCCCUUGCCCGCUGGGGCCCCGAUGCCUAAGUUACCUUGGGAAAAAGAGCAACACCCUAGACAGUAUCUAGAAGCAUGUAAGGACACAUGGGCCAAACACACAGGGCACCACCCGGGGAAGGGGGGUCUGCAGCAGGAGUGGUUUAGAAGGGCGGUCUUAGAGGGACUUCCAGAGAAAAUAAAAGAGGCAAUGAUGGCAAAUCCUGACUUGCCGGGUAGUGAAUCACACGUAUGGGAAAGACACAUAGUACAUCAUUUACAGAGGGCAAAAGAUGAGACAGAGAAAGACAAACAGAUACGGGAACUGAGGGAGAACCUGUUGCGCUUACAGCUGGGUGAAGCCAAAGUGAGAUUCAAUGAAGGGAAAAAGAAACACAGACAGAUGGCAGCCCUAGGCUCAGGAGAACCUGACACACCCGAUUUAUACCCUGUUCCCACAUGGGCAUCCCAACCUCACAGUGGCCGGAGGGCAUUCACCGCGCCCUAUCGACCAGGGACUCUGAGGGGAGGUUAUGGUAGGAGGAGGGGGCGGGGUAGAGGCAGAGGGGCUCCAGGAGCCCAAGUCCCAUACGGAGCCUGCUUUACGUGUGGUGACCCGAACCACUGGUCCAGAGAGUGCCCACAGAACACUGCAAGGGGCAGAGGAUACCCAAACCAGGGGGCAGCUCCAGUUCCCAACCCACACGCCGUCCCACCACCUAGUGCACCUGGACAAUACCCACUCUCUUAUGAGGGAGGGUGGGACCAGGCGUGACGGUCUACAGGGAGGGGAGGGGACAGCGGGGGAAGGGCAGACCCUAUGCUGUCCCUGAAUGUCGACGGGAAGGACUUCCCCUUUCUGGUUGACACAGGUGCCACGUUUUCCACCAUCACCGCCCCUCCCGUCACAGGACUACUAUCCUCCAAGACAGUGGAAGUUGUGGGGUUUGAAGGAGUGGGACAGACUUUGCCAGUAAAAUUUCCUCUUAAAACGAUACUGGGUAAACAGGCCCUCAGCCAUCCGUAUGUGGUGUUGGCAAACACACCAGUGAACUUAUUGGGGAGAGACUUGUUGAUAAAACUGGGGGCUAAUAUCUUGUGUUCUCCAGAUGGACUAACUGUCACGUUACCAGACGGGACAUCGACUUCAAGUGGAGGCCGUGGAUCUCCCUCCUCGAGCCGUACUUUCCUCCGCCAGACCCCCCACAUGUAACCCUAUUUUAUGAUCGGCAGGGCGAUGAAGUGUAUAGAGAGGGGUUUGGGGAUGUAGUGUGUGGGGACACGUUACAGGUCGGGUCUAAAUUCAUACAUGUAGGCCCUGAAGGGGUGGCAGCAGAUGUACAGUUGACAGAGGAGCAGGAUCAGUGGUACAUGAUGGCGGAGGAGUCCGUCCCGCAUGUGUCGCUGGCCCUGCAUCCUAAACACCAAGCAAAAGACCUGGGGCCCAUGGUUAAAAGGGCGGUCAAAUGUACUGAUUGGACACUCCCUCAGGCGCCAAACGUAUGGUACUCACACAGCUGUAAGACGUAAAAAUGGUUCACCUGCAUUGACCUGGCUAACGCUUUUUUCUGUCUCCCACUAGCAGAGGAACUUCGUGAUAUUUUUUCUUUCACACAUAGGGGCGACGGUGGCCGCCUGCAUCCAAGCUACAAUGACGGUCCUAACCAGACUGGCAGAGAAAGGGUUCAAGGUAUCAAAAGAAAAGCUACAGCUGGUAAGGACGCAGGUCUCCUUUCUGGGCAGAGUAAUCUUGCAGAAAGGAGCGGGGCUUUCCUCAGCUCACCGCACAACCAUCCUCCACCAUCCUAAACCCACUACUGUUCAGGAAAUGCUAUCAUUCCUGGGGCUCACGGGGUACAGCCGCAAUUACAUCCCAAACUAUUCAGGGCUCACAGAGCCACUUAGAGCGCUAGUUAAGGAGCAGGGAAUGCGUGAACUUAAAGCCACUCUCAAUUGGACUUGCCCGGCCGACCAGGCCUUCAUUUUGCUGAAACAACAACUAGCCACCGCAGCUGAUCUGGCCAUACCCGACUACACAAAACCUUUUUUUCUAGAUGUUUCUGAAACAGGUCAAGUCAUGAACGGGGUCCUGUUUCAGAAAAAAGGGGGAGAAGGCUCUGAGAGAGACGAGCUAGUGAGACAUCAAAAGGGGGCUUCCACACAAGAGAAAACAAUUUGGCAACAGAGAGGAGCAACAGAGAUGAGCGGGCUCUGGAGAGGGCCAGACGGUAGAGUAAUACUUCCACCAGCCAUGCGGGGAGAUAAAUUUGCAGAAGCCCACGGGUUGGGCCAUGUAGGGCCAGCACAGAUGUUGAGGAACCAAUUAUGGUAGACAUGGUACGUAACUACACUAGGACAUGCACCAUCUGCACUCACCACAAUCCAAAACCGACGAUCAAACCUGAGAGGGGGGCGUUCCCCAUGACGACGAGACCUGGACAAGAGAUAGUGAUAGACUACACGGACAUGGGGGAAACUGUACGGGGGUGCCGCUACAUGUUAGUGUGUGUGGACAUGUUCACAGGGUGGCCAGAAGCCUGGCCAGCUAGAAGGGAGGACAGUCAGACAGUGAUCAAGUGUUUAGUGAACCAGUACAUUCCCAGACACGGCUUCCCAGAGAAAAUCAGGUCAGACAAUGGGACUCACUUUAAGAACAGUGAUUUACAGGAGGUAGAGAGAUUAUUGGGCCUAAAACAUGCUUUUGGCACUGUAUACCAUCCACAGUCCCAGGGAAAGGUAGAAAGGAUGAACCAAAACUUAAAAAACAAGUUGGCUAAGAUAUGUGCACAGACCAAAUUGAACUGGGUGGAUGCACUGCCACUGGCCCUCAUGACGAUUCGAUGCUCGUUAAAUCAGACCACUGGGUUCACCCCAUACGAGCUGCUGACGGGGAGACAGUUUCCAGGAUCCGGCCGCGGGGCCUGCGGUCCCGGAAGGGGUAAAGUGGCCCAAAGACCAUAAAGUGUAUUUUGAUGAAUUGCGAGCUCUCGUUUCAGAAUUCACCAACAGAGUCGGAGAAAGGAGGGACCUGCACCUGCUGGACCAGAACCUGCCCCAGGCGGAUUGGGUGCUGCUGAAGGUCAUCAAGCGAAAGUGGUCGGACCCAAGGUGGACGGGUCCUCAUCAGGUGGUGGAGAGAAAGAGUCAUGCGGUCCGCAUGAGCGACAAAGGGGAGACCUGGUACCAUUGGAGCCAGUGUACACCAGCGCAGGAGCCAGGAAGGUCGCUAACGGACCUCAUCCAAACCGGGAAGGAGGAGCUUUCCCCAGUGUGGACUGAAGGAGGACCAGCACCAGCCGGACCGGUGCCAGGAGCGGAUCCCAGGACACGGCGGGACCACGAGCGAGUGAAGGAGACAGAGGACGGCGUCAGGGGACUAGACUCUUAGGGGAAAGAAUUGAAGAAUACUGUAACAAAAGGGGGUAUAGGACACAGAGUGGCUACCACUCGUACCAAGAUGACAGGGUUACAGAGAAAGGUCUGAGGAGAUGAGAAUAGAAUGAAGUGGUACAUGGACAUUGGUGGCAUAAUGAUGUGUGUUGUAUGUUGUUACAGGUUUCCCAGGUUGGCAUUGGGUCUUCAUUCCCCCAGCGAAGAGGUUCGCGACCCCACCUGAGGACACCUGUUUGAGGAAAUUUGGGGGAUUGAAUUGGACGAUGUCAAGGGGUCACAUACGAGCAUUCUGGGAUAGAUAAUCCGCUGGAGGAAUGGCUGACUCGAUGUUCGGCCAGUGGAGAGGUUUGAUAAUGUCUGUUCUUUUAUCGCUAUCUACAUUCGGUUCUAUAAUGGUUACUUGUGUGUGUUGUUGUAUCCCAUGCAUAAGAGGGCUUGCCAUGAGCGUGAUCUUUUCCUCAGCAGGAUGUACAACAGCAACAGGCGGUUGAUGCGGUGGAUGUUGAUUGUGCAGGGAUACAACCUCACUAUCCACCAUAUUAAGGGUUCCAACAACGUUGUUGCUGACGCGCUCUCGCGAGUCUGGUGAGACUUCCGCUGCCGGAGUGAUUGUUUACAGGGAACGUUGCGUACAGAUUGGUGACACUAACUAUUCGUUGUGUCUUUUUGUGGUGGGCGUGUUACGUCCCCUGUUCAAAGUCCCUGUAGUGUUCUGUGUAUGUGUCUUCUCAGUACAGGUGACAAUAUUCUUCAAUCAAGCUCAUCAAUGACUCCGCCUACCCCGUUACCCGGUUCAGCUGUUUCCACUCACCAUCUGUCCCAUCAUGCAUUUCUGAGCAGUAUAUGUACUUCUGGUUUUUGGUCAUUCUCUCUCUCACUCUCCAUGCGUAAGGUUGUGUAUGUGGUUUCUGGUUAGUUGUGAAGUGUUUUGUGGUUUUGCGUGGUUUGGAGUGAGAGCUGUGUGUGUGUGGUUGAACUUUGAUUGUACAACUGGUACAUUGUCUAACACUGUUAUUUCCUCUUGUUUCUACAGGGAGUGAGGAGUAGUUUAGCCCUGCUCCGGAGUCUACAUCCCUGCACGUAGGAAGAGGAGUACAUCCCUAACAGAUGCCAGCCAGGACAUUAGACUGACAAUGGAGGUUUUGGAUGCAAUGAAGACACAAGGAGGAAUGUCAAUGAGAGAAGCAAAAUAAUCUUUGAUGGAGGGAACCUUUAAGGGAGUAGCCCUGAAGGAAAGCACAGAGAAGGUUAAUCAGCUUCAGUUCUUUCAGGCAGUGAUCGACAUCCUGUCAAGUCGUCUUCCAGAUUCUGAACUCACAAAGUUAUUGAAACCAUUAGACCCUCACAUCUGGCCCAAAACAAGAGAUGAACUGAUCUUGUAUGGGGAGGACGAGAUAUAUGAACUUGCAAAGGAUCUGGGUGAAUCCGCCAGAGAGGCUGUUGAAGAUUUCCGUUCCUGGAAACUGCAAAAGGAUCAAAGUGGGAAGACCUUAAGAAGAUUGAUAGUUGCAAGCCAAACAUAUCUAGCAACUUCAGCAGAGUGUGAACGAGGGUUUUCUGCCAUGAAUGAUACAGCCAGUAAGACAAGAAAUCGCCUGAGGGUCAGAAGUCUCUCAGCUGUCUUGUUCGUCGACAUUAAUGCACCCCCAUUGGAGAUGUUCGACCCUAAGCCUUUUGUGAUGUCCUGGCUUAAAGAAGGGCACUGCCCAUCUACUGCAAAGAAGGCAGCAAAGAAUAAGAGAGAAGACAGACCACUGUGGUCCAUUAUGUGUUGAUGUUGGACCUCCUUUAAAGGUCUAGAGCAGGGGUGCCUGCCCAGUCCUGCUCCUGGAGAGCUACUGUUCUGUAGGUGUUCUCUCCAACCCCAGUUAACCCCUAACCUGAUGAAGUUGUUAACAAAUGAAUAAAAUAUGUGCCUAGUCACUUAACAUGUUGAUUUUGAAUAAUGUGGUUACUAUUGGAUUAUUGUCAUUUUAAUGUCAUGUUAGAAUAUCAAACUUUUUUUUUUUUUCGUGUCCCUUAAGAUUUUACUUCAGG
Molecule: long non-coding RNA, 8707 nt
Organism: Esox lucius (northern pike)
Lineage: Eukaryota; Metazoa; Chordata; Actinopteri; Esociformes; Esocidae
Source: Ensembl